UUGAAGGCGUGGAGACUGAAGUCCUCUCUAUAUCCACAGAACAGGUACGGCACAGGCAGCGGCAGUGCAGCUUUUCCACUGUCCCACCAAUGUGCCUCAGUCCUAGCCUAGGGGGGAUCAUGUUUAGGGUAAGAGGGCUAUCAGUCUCCAUGCCCUUCAAUCCUUGGCUACU
Prolemur simus (greater bamboo lemur) is the source of this 172-nucleotide unclassified non-coding RNA. NCBI's taxonomy places the organism in Eukaryota, Metazoa, Chordata, Mammalia, Primates, Lemuridae. The record is from Ensembl.